GCAAUUUCAACAAAGCAAGACCAGGAGGCAUGUCGGGCCUGUUUCCAUAAUAAAUCACAGAAUAGUCCUAAGUCACACCAGCCCCAAGAUCAAAACAACUGGUGGACUUCCUUGAUAUUUAUAACCAGUACGACAUAAUAUUACAUCGGGUUGAGCCAGGGUGCUCCACUAUUUAUUACAAAUUUGCAAUAUAUGGUGGUGGCGGUAUAUGACAGUGGUUUGAUGGUAGUACAACACCGAUACAAUAAAAUAGAGCCAAGCAUCAGAGUGAGGCUUGACUAUUUUAUUUGGGAAGCGAAAGCACAGCGGAUGAUACAUGUGGUAGACUCCAAGACCACGGUUGACUAACCAGGAACAACUCUAAGCGUCGGGCUCGCUAGCGCAACCUUCCUCCACAAGCUCGUCCUCCUCCAGGACUGGCCAAAUUAACAAGCCAGGGACAAGCCUGUGAGUAUGUUGGAAUGUACUCUCAAACAUUAUGAACAAAAGAUAUACCAAAUGCAUAUGCUCAUGAUGGGAUAUAUUAAAUGCAUGUGCUGACCGAAAAUACGUUACGGCAUGAUAAACAUUAGCAUGUGUUGAAGAAUGAGUAUAGAAAUUUUAGUGACAGACAAAGAAAGUUAACGGAACAUCGGGCAUUGGACCGCCCGAGAAAUUCCAACAAGAAUGCCAAACGUGUGUCUAAAAGCACAUCUCGAGAGGUCUUGAAAAGAAAUGCCAAACGGGUGUCUAGAAGCGACGCCUCAAGAUGUCUUGAAAAGAAAGCUGAGUAUCCGGAUAGUCUAACCAUCCCAAGUGAUACUCAGAAAAGAAAAGAAAAUUGAGUGCAUGGGUAGUUUGGCCAUCCCAAGUGACACUCCGUAAAAUUGAAUAAGAGAAACGGGUUAGUCCAUAAUUACAAUAACAUGUAUAGCACUAAUAUUCAUGAUAACAAAGAUCUUCAUGAUAGCAUCAGUGGUGACAAUAAUUAUCCUACAAAAUGAAUCAUGCUCAGUUUAAUUAUUUCCUUCAAAGACCGCCACCGAGACCGAUACUUGACCCUUCCCAACUAACAUUGACCGUGGACACGACUAUUCGAAUAGAUGUAACUUUGUAGAGGUUGUACUCUUUACCCACAUGUAUGGGAUUUCUGUAGCCAACACCUAGGCACUAACUAAUUCCCAUUACGGUCUUUGGGUUGAAAACACACCUGACCAACACACACCAAAAUAACUUCCCGGAUGCCAGGAAUCACCCAAAGCAUCUUUCAAGAGAACUCUAAGUCGGGGAGACCAUCGGCUCGAAUAGCAUGGGAUCACUAUUAAUACGCGCGGAUUACAAGGGGUGCCCCCCUAUCGGCCCAGCCGGAUACACCCAUGCCCCUGACCCGAUGACUGGCAUUAGACCAUGGCUGUGGAACCCUCAUCGUGGCCUCUCUAAGUGGUGUGUACCCAAAAAGGGGUUAACAACUUACUAAAUCGCACUCCCCUCGCGGGAAGACAAGUGACAGCACGGUAUUUAGCUAGGCUUGACGGAACAAGACUCGAUCUAGGUUGACUUAGGAGGUUUGUUAUUAUGGCUGGCAUGUCUCACAUGCCAUGGUGAUACUGUCGUGUCAUAACGCGGCUCGUGCCCACCGGCACGUCCAAGGUAGGAAAUACACUCUAGGAUUCUCACCAUAUCCACACGUUAGCAAGUUUUUUGGUGUAUGCAAUAGUGCGCAAAAUGACAUGCAAUAGUGCUCAAAAUGACAUGACUAGUGCAUGCUUUCACUAUUACAGCUAUAUGGUGCAAUUUCAUUCGAUGCAAUCAUGCAUGCAAUUCACCAUAUCCCAAGUUCAAAAAUGUUUGCCUUGAUCAAAGUAGUCGGAAAGUGGUUCCUCGAAUUUCCCGGUAAAGCCCCCCUCUUCGUUUUCUGGAAAACGUCCAAAUUCAAUUUUUUUCAACAGUGCAAAAAGUUGUGUCAAAAUAUUUUUUAUUAAGUACUAAAAAAAUAGAGUGAAAAUAAGAAUUUCAGAAAAAGAAUCAACUGAAAAUGAUUUGUGGUUUAAAAGUUAUUAAGGUUUUAAAAUCAGGGACCUCUCUAUAAAUAAAAUAACUGCCAGCGGGUCCCUGCGGUAAUAACUAAAGCGCGUUAGAAGGAAAUACGCUUUCCUGUGCAAAAAGCGUGAAGAGGCAGAAGGUGCUUUCGAGUAUAACAGAAAAGAAUAAAACGCUGACGGGUGGGCCCUACCCAUGAUCGUGCGCGCGUACGGAGGGGGUGCAGUGGUCACCGGCGGCGAUCGCCGGCGUUUCAGGAGGUGGCAAUGGCUGGGAUGUGCUCGGGGUGGCACCCCACAUCAGUGGGUGGUGGUGGUUGUCGCUGGCGAGCACCAGAAUGAUGGCGAGGUCGUUUCCGGCGGACGGUGGCGUCGGGUGGUGGCGGAUCCCGCCGAAGAGGGCUCCGGUUGACGAAUUGAGGCGCGGGAUCGACUACAUGGUGGACUAGACGACUACUUACGAUGUUUUGGUGGCGAAGAUGGCCUAACGGCGACGAGAGGUUCUCGGGUACCGCGGCGGAACGGAGCCGGAAGUGGAGAAGAAGACCUUCUCGAGGUCGAGGGAGUGUGCGAGAGGUCGAUUGGGAUGAUGAUGGAGUGGUGUGAGUGAUGAAUGAAGCUCGGGUAGGCCUUUUAUAGGCAGUCCGAGGAGGUCUAGUGAGGGGCGGACCACGCCAGAGUUAAUCCAUCUGAUGAGGUAGGUUUGGUCGACG
RNAcentral lists this long non-coding RNA (2731 nucleotides) under Triticum aestivum (bread wheat). Its description in RNAcentral is "long non-coding RNA (TAES_LNC000298)". The record is from RNAcentral. Lineage: Eukaryota; Viridiplantae; Streptophyta; Magnoliopsida; Poales; Poaceae.